GACGAACGCUGGCGGCGUGCUUAACACAUGCAAGUCGAACGGAAAGGCCCUGCUUUUGUGGGGUGCUCGAGUGGCGAACGGGUGAGUAACACGUGAGUAACCUGCCCUUGACUUUGGGAUAACUUCAGGAAACUGGGGCUAAUACCGGAUAGGAGCUCCUGCUGCAUGGUGGGGGUUGGAACGUUUCGGCGGGUGGGGAUGGACUCGCGGCUUAUCAGCUUGUUGGUGGGGUAGUGGAUUACCAAGGCUUUGACGGGUAGCCGGCCUGAGAGGGUGACCGGCCACAUGGGGACUGAGAGACGGCCCAGACUCCUACGGGAGGCAGCAGUGGGGAAUAUGGCACAAUGGGCGGAAGCCUGAUGCAGCAACGCCGCGUGCGGGAUGACGGCCUUCGGGUUGUAAACCGCUUUCGCCUGUGACGAAGCGGGAGUGACGGUAAUGGGUAAAGAAGCACCGGCUAACUACGUG
This 468-nucleotide ribosomal RNA is filed under the name uncultured bacterium. Its description in RNAcentral is "partial 16S ribosomal RNA". It matches the Rfam family "Bacterial small subunit ribosomal RNA", at positions 28 to 507 of the family's 1533-position model. The record is from RNAcentral.